CCUUCCCAUGAGCCUUUCCUCUGAGGCCUCUAUUUUCUGAGAGGGACUUUAUCUAGCGACUGACAUCCUCAGAGACCAUGGACCUGGGACCUCAUGGAGAGGACAGGAUGGGUCACCCUUGGAGAGCUCAGUUUAUGCCUUUUACUUGCUGACUUUACAUGGUGACAGAAGUGGGAUCCCUAGCUACUGACCUUCAAUUCUGGUGCCACUUCACAGACACAAGCAAGGUGCCUGCAAAGAAUCUUUUGUGCUCUGUCGUCUCCUCCUGGUGGCUCUGGUUCCUGGUGAUUGGUUGCAGACAAUGAUACAGGCGUCAGGAAUGGUGGAGCCAAGAGACGGGAAUUCAUGGGUGACUGACACACCCUGUGGAAGAGAACCACCUGCCCAACGCAAAACCCACCUUGGCCUGUUUGUCAAGAACUUGCUCCCAGAAAAAACCUGGAUGGAGAACAAAACAGAAAGUUAGCAGCGGGGAAGGAACUCGGGGCUGCAACAGGGCCCGGCGGCGGCGGCGGCAGAGGCUGAAGCAGGAGCCGCGUCGGAGCCGGGGAAGCGGGGGCGCUGCAGACGGAGCAGGUGCAGCCGGCGGGUCCGCGCGCCCCCCUCGGUCCCCUUGCCGGAGGCUGAGGGGGGGGUGGUGGGGGGCCACCCGGACUGCGCGGGAAGAGUGGGGAGGGGGAUCAUGCAGCCGGGCUCUUCCCCGGCGCAGCGAGACAGCGGCCAGGGCCGGGGGUGCAGUGGCGUCGCUUCAUGCAGCCUGGGCGGCUGGGCUGGGUGGGGGGACGGGCGGGGUGCUUUCUGAAGCUGCCUAGCUCCACGCCUGGGAAUCCCCAGCCCAGGUGCCCGCGGGGUGUUUCCCAACCCAGGCUCUUGUGGGGCUCUGCUCUGCUGCGUUGGGGACGCUAAGGCAUGAAGCAGGAUAGCUAGAUUGACUGAAGGGCUUUGAGUUCUCCUGGAAUCUCUCAAAAUCGCCCUCAAACGUAUUUGCGUGUCUGACAUCCGACUUUAGUAUUUUCAGGUUAGAACAAAAUGAACAGGGAACGGUUAAACAGAUGACGCUGGUGAGUUUGGGCUUGCUAGAAAAGACUGAGGAUGUUCCCCAUCUCCAGGACUUUCUAUCCCCCGGUGGCUGCAGGAACCCUGGGUUGAUUUUGCAUCAGGAGCAUCAAGGUCUGCAUGGCAGUCGGUGUCCUAAGAGUUUUUACAUCCUGCACCCCUGCCCUUUCUAACCGGCGCCUCCUUCGCAACAGAUGUUCAUCUCCCUUCUCUUCCACAGUCUCCUAGCGGUGAGGGAAAGGAGAGGAGAGUAGAAAGUUAAGUGCAGGUAAAAUAAAUUAGUGAUCCGGCUUUCUUGCUAGCCGUAACAUUUAAAAAACACUGGAGCAGAUGCCCCAAAGGCAAACAUCCUUUGCUCCCCCCACCCCCACCUUUUAUCUCUUUCUGGAAAACAUCUGGAUGGCUGGUCCCAUCUCUGUUGCAUCUCAGUAAUUAAUUGGAGUUGUCAGCCAAACACAGGUUUUGUCAGCUAAAGUGAUAUUAUCAUCUUCACAAGGCCAAUAGGUAAAAUAAGGAUUUUUUCCUGACAAGGUGCCUUGCUGUUGAAGAGAUGUGCUUUCUAAGUUUAAAUUACAGCCUGCAAGAGUUUUAGAAAUAACCUAACUUCAGAAAUAUAUAGUAAGUGUGUAUUAUAUAAUAAUAUAUUACUAUAUGUGUGUAUUAUGUAAUAUAUAUUAUAUAUGAAUAUAUAAUAUGUAUUGAUUGAUUUCUUCCACUUUAAAAAAUACGCCUUAUGCUUUCAAAGCUUGAGAGAAGUACAUUUAGGCGUAAACAUUCCAGCAGGUUAAAUGGAAAGAGUAAAUGUGUCUGUCAAUAUCUUGUCUGUUUCAACAGAGAGAACUAAUUGCAACAUUUUAGGAGGCCUCAAACAGCCCCUUCCUAUCAAAACAGAAACCAGUCAAUGCCUACUUGAACUGGAAAAUCAGUAUUUAUAACAUUGCAAGUCAUGGCUUCCAGUUUGCGAUUAGAAUUACAAAAGGUGUUGGGAUGAUUAAUGCAACAACAGCAAACCAGAGAAAGGAGGAGAUGUUUGGGAAGGUUUCGGUUGUUUAAUUGUUGGUUGUAGGAAAGUUCUGAUUUCUGCUAUGGGGUUGCUUCAGCCCUCUGAGGGUAACUGUGCUCUUUUCCAGCUCUAAUUUCAAAGCUGUGUAUCUUGUGAGAAGUGUCAGAUGCCCUUUGGGGGAGAGGAAGGCCUGAAGAUCAGACCUUUCCAACAUGUGUUGUAUUGCUUUGUGGCAGCUGGAAAUAGAGAUGGGGUGUUUGAUUCAGGUGACUUGAAGUUGAUGUAGGGGUGCAUGGUGGAAUGCAUGUCAGGAGGUCCCAUCGUAGGGUCUGGAGAAUUUUCUGAAUGAAAGGAUAGAAGAUGCCAGAUUUUCUCAUGUUCUUAAAUACUGCUGUUGGGAAAAGAAGGUAUGAACCGGCCUCGCUGUCAUGACAUGGUUACUGAAGAUGUCAUUCCAGCUUUAUGGUUCUCUCAGCCAUCACUUGUGAUAUUUGGGACAUGGUGUCAAUAUUUGGUAGCCGCCGUAUAACUGUUACGCUGAAGAGACAUGGAUAGAGCUAUAUUCCCUUGAUCCUCACUUCAGAGGACCACAUGGUAUCUCUGUGUCCUCGAUCUGCUACUCCAGAAAUUCACCCAUGCGAGACCCUUAUGAUGCUCAGUGGUGCUGAUUGGAAGUGCUGGAGGAGAAUCUCUCCAACAUAGAGGGAAUCAUUAGCCACCCAAACCUGUCUGUUGAGAAGACUCCCAGAAACCCCUUGGACCCACAGUUGCUGAGUGUGCCGGGACUGGCCUUGGAUAGCUCUCCAGCCUUACAAGGGACAGCAGUGUUUUGAGGACAUUUGUGGGAUUUUCAUUAGCUCUGUCUCUCCUCUCUUUCUCCCAUGUAGGAAGAGGGGAUGACAACCUCACUGUUGUAGAAAAGGAAACAGUGGCAUUGAUUCAAACCAGUAAAAGACACCUCUUGGUUCCCUGGUACAACUCCGUCUUUUAAAUGGUGACAUCUGUACUUAAAUGGUUAUACCAGGUAUUCUGCCUGAAAUCUUACUCUACUGUUUGAGUAGUUAGAGAUCCACAGGUUAAUUAAAGACUUUAAUUUUCCCCCCA
Molecule: non-coding RNA, 3163 nt
Organism: Equus caballus (horse)
Lineage: Eukaryota; Metazoa; Chordata; Mammalia; Perissodactyla; Equidae
Source: RefSeq, a predicted model, not a curated record